Oryzias melastigma (Indian medaka) is the source of this 1075-nucleotide long non-coding RNA. RefSeq lists it as uncharacterized. The transcript has 3 exons. Lineage: Eukaryota; Metazoa; Chordata; Actinopteri; Beloniformes; Adrianichthyidae. The record is from RefSeq and is a predicted model, not a curated record.
ACAUCAAUUUUUUUUCAUAUAUAAUAUUUGUUUUAUUUGGGUUUCAUAUAAUAUUGGCACCAGAUUUGCUCCAUAGCCCUGCACAUCUCUGGAAAGCAGCUCGGUUCUUGUUGACGACAGGGGAAUCUGUCGAACCUUUUCUUGAAGCUGCUGUCACUCUUUUAAUUUCUAAAUUGUUUCUGUAUUUGCCUCCAUACACCCUUUAAUCAUUUCUGAGUGACUUUUUUGUGCUUGCCCAACAUCCAUUCCACUCGUAGUGAGCACUCGUGAGCCCGUUCUUGUGCUGUUACCGUCUGUGUUGUACGCUCGCACUGUACUUUCAGUUCGUAUAUUUUCCGUGACCACGUCACUCAUUCUGUCGGGUAAUUUGUGUCAGGCGCUCUUAACAAAACCAGCUGACUCCAUGUUUAUAAUACAAACCGGCCUGUAGAACUCACUGCUGGUAAAUAAAAUCGAAAGCUUCGGUCCACUCAUCUCCAAAGACACGAUUUUCAGUCCACUUUUCGAAUUGUUGAUAGAGCCACUGUUCACGCACAUUCCAGAUAACUAUACGUCCCAACUACGUAAACAUUAGAACACCACUGUCAGUCCCCGAUCCCCUUUCCCUAACCACGCCCUAAUAGCGCGCAUGUAUAUUACGUCACUUCCUCUUUGCCGCCAAACUUUGCGACGGUGGAGAGUUUUGGAUUUGAUUUGCGUCAGCUGGAUUUGAUUUCCAACAGUUGGGUGAUCGGGUAGCCGAAACAGAGAUCCGACAAUAACAGCUGAUCGCCACAGUCGCUACUAUUCCAUAAACCAUAUUCCAAAAACAUCCAUUCAUCUCUCAGUAACGGAUCACCUCCUUCAACAGAGUCACCACGUUCAAAGGAUGACUGCAGUUACAACCUGAAAGAUGGAAUAUGUCCUGGACAAAGACCGUCCUCCAGGAGAGCUCAUAGUGAAGGAGAUGAUAUCUGCUCAACCUGUGAAGACUUUAGGAUCCUGAAUAUGACACAAUGGAUGGAAUCCUCCGAGAAAAAUGUCUACAUCGAUGACCUUUACUGCCUUUAUGACAACCUAGAAGGAUCUCCAAGUU